Zea mays is the source of this 3556-nucleotide long non-coding RNA. RefSeq lists it as uncharacterized. The record is from RefSeq and is marked validated. The transcript is spliced from 6 exons. NCBI's taxonomy places the organism in Eukaryota, Viridiplantae, Streptophyta, Magnoliopsida, Poales, Poaceae.
AGAGCAGGUUUGCCUUCGCCUUCACAAUUCGCACCACAUUAUUGUCUUGUGUUGCCCGCAACCCAAAGCGGAUCAAACCCUAGAUCUCGUCCCCGUUCCUCCGAUCCUCAUGGAUUCCUCCUCCUCCUCGUCCAGCCUGAGCCAGCAGCCCGAGUUCGAUUACCUCUUCAAGCUGCUGCUUAUCGGCGACUCCGGCGUCGGCAAGAGCAGCCUCCUCCUCCGUUUCACCGCCGACUCCUUUGAGGACCUUUCCCCCACCAUAGGUGUUGACUUCAAGGUGAAGAUGGUUACCAUUGGUGGCAAAAAACUCAAGCUUGCCAUCUGGGACACAGCCGGACAAGAGAGAUUUAGGACCUUGACCAGCUCUUACUACAGAGGGGCACAGGGGGUUAUUAUGGUGUAUGAUGUCACUCGGCGGGAAACGUUUACUAAUCUUUCUGAUAUAUGGGCGAAGGAAAUUGACCUGUAUUCAACCAACCAGGACUGUAUAAAGAUGCUUGUUGGAAAUAAAGUAGAUAAGGAAAGUGAGAGAGCUGUGACAAAAAAGGAGGGGAUUGAAUUUGCUAGGGAAUACGGUUGUUUGUUUCUAGAAUGCAGUGCGAAAACAAAAGUAAAUGUAGAACAGUGCUUUGAGGAACUUGUGCUAAAGAUAUUAGACACGCCAAGCCUCCUCGCUGAUGCUUCGUCUGGGGCCAAGAAGAACAUCUUCAAGCAGAAGCCUCCGGAAGCCGAUGCCGCUGCAAGCAGCUGCUGUUAACAUGCUUUUGCCAUGCUAAUUCCGCGUCCUCCCGUGGAUGAUGACGAUGAUAUCUUUGUUUGGUGUGUCGGUUUAUUGUUUCUUCUUCUUUUGGUCCUGUAUAUGCUGAAUUUAUUACACCCACACAUAACUGUACGUUGGCAGCAGCUAUAUAAUAUAUCGUUUUUUGUUGUUUCUUUUUGUUUUGUUUAAAAGAGAGAGAGAGAGAAUAGUAUAUGUUUUGUUUUGUUUCCGUGCUCCAGUUGAGAGAGAGAGAGAGAGAGAAAUGAAGAUAUUUGAGAGGAGUAUGGAUGGAUUCACGGGUGGGCAAGGGCAAGGGAAGAGGCCAGGCCAUCGCAGGCAACACCCGUGCCGUGUGUCGUGUCGUGCGAGGUCACGGGUCACUCCAGCCAAAAAACAGAUGAUGAUGAUGAUGAUGUGCCAUGCUGCGGGGCAACAAGAAACUGAACACCACGGAAAUCCAAGGACCAGCCAGCGCCCGCCCUCGUCCCUUUUGUAUGUAUGUGCUCCCUCUCUCCCUCCCUCCCUUUGCCAUUUGCCGAUUUGGGCAGCAGCAAUGACACUUCCCUGCGCCGGCGGCUGCGAGAUCCAAGCCAGCGGCAUUAACUACCGCAUCGCCGUCUCCACCCGACCUCUCAAGGUCUGGAGCAGAUCAGACGACGACGUCCAUUCCCAAGACCACCACAGCGUCGUCCGCCAGGUGCUCCGGGACGUCUCCUGCCGCGCGCGCCCCGGCGAGCUGCUCGCCAUCGUCGGCCCCAGCGGCGCCGGCAAGUCCACCCUGCUCGAGAUCCUCGCGGGGCGCCUCUCCCCGUCCCCGCCGCCCCACCUGCUACGCAUCGACGGCGCCGCCGCCCACAGCGCCGACCUCCGCCGCGUCUCCGCCUACGUCACCCAGCAGGACGUCCUCUUCCCGCUGCUCACCGUGCGCGAGACGCUGCUCUUCAGCGCGCGCCUCCGCCUAGGCGCGCGCCUGCCCUCCAAGGACAUGCACGCCCGCGUCGAGGCGCUCCUCGACGACCUCACCCUGCGCCGCGUCGCCGCCACCAGGAUCAAGGACCUCUCCGGCGGAGAGCGCAGGCGCGUCUCCAUCGGCGUCGAGGCCGUGCGUGACCCGCCCGUGCUCAUCCUCGACGAGCCCACCUCCGGCCUCGACAGCGCCUCCGCGCUCCACAUCGUCGGCGCGCUCCGCGCCAUGGCCGAGGCGCGUGGACGCACCGUGCUGCUCAGCAUCCACCAGCCGGGAGCGCGCAUCGUCAAGAUGUUCGACUCCGUCCUCCUGCUAGCCGCCGGCUCCGUCCUCCACCAUGGCACCGUCGACCAGCUCCGCGCCCUGCUCGGGGACGCGGGCCUUCACCUGCCCCCGCACGUCGAUGACGUCGAGUUCGCCAUCGACUCCGUGGACGCGCUUCGCCGCCACGCCAGCAGCAGCCUGCAGGCGCCGUCCUCCGGAGACCGAGAGGGCCGGUGCACGCUGCAGCGUCUGUUCCAGCUGCACGGCAAGCAGGUGGCGGACGCCCCCGUGGCCGUGACCAUGAUGGCUAGCCGCUACGCCAACUCGCGGGCGCGGGAGGUGGCGGUGCUGUCGCAGCGCUUCUUCAAGAACGUGGCGCGGACGCGGCAGCUCUUCGCGUGCCGCACCGUGUGCAUGCUGGUGGCGGGCCUUGCGCUGGGCUCCAUCUUCUACGACCUCGGGCAGGACAAGGUGGCGGAGCGCGUGGGUCUCUUCGCCUUCCUGCUCACCUUCCUCCUGUCAUCCACAACGGAGGCGCUGCCCAUCUUCCUGCAGGAGCGCGACAUCCUGGCCAGGGAGACGGCGUCGGGGGCGUACCGCGUGUCGUCGUACGCGGUGGCCAACGCGGUGGUGUUCCUGCCCUUCCAGCUGGCGCUGGCCGUCGUGUUCGCGGCGCCGGUGUACUGGCUGGCGGGUCUCCGUCGAACGGCGGCGGCGUUCGGCUACUUCCUGCUGGUGAUAUGGCUGAUCCUGUACACAGCGAACUCGGUGGUGGUGUGCUUCGCGGCGGCGGCGCCGGACUUCGUGGUGGGGAACGCGGCGAUCCAGGGGGUGAUGGGCUCCUUCUUCCUCUUCUCGGGCUACUUCAUCGCGCGGUCGGCGAUGCCCGGGUGCUGGGUGUUCAUGCACUACCUGUCGUUGUUCAAGUGGCCGUUCGAGGCGCUGCUGGUGAACGAGUUCGCCGGCGGCGGGAGGUGCGUGGUGCGGGCGCUGGGCGAGUGCGUGGCGACUGGGGACGAGGUGCUGCGGCGCGAGGGGCUCGGGGAAGAGUGCAGGUGGCGCAACGUGGGCGUCAUGGUGGCCUUCAUGGCGGCCUACAGGGUGUUGGGCUACGCCGUGCUGAGGGUGAGGUGCAGCCUCGCGCUCAACAAGAAGGGGGCCGUGGCCGCCGGACCACCUGGCCUCGGCCUCAGCCGCCGCCUGAGAAGACAGCUAGCCAUCAUCGGCACCGCUGCGUGGCCCUCGCCAUCGUCUUCUUCCACCCCCUCGCUCCCUGUUAAUUAAAUUAAAUUAAAUUAAAUUAAAUUAAAUGGCAACCAAAUACACUAGUGUAUGUGUGCUUACUUGUUUUGUUCGGUGAUUCGUACGGAGUGCUUACUUAAUAUUGUAUUGUAUUAUACUUGGAGUAGGAAGUAUGGUAUCCAAAGAUAGCAUCUGUUCCAAUACAUCUUGUAAUCAGACUCUGCUCUAACUCGUACCAACAUGCUGAGAUGUCCCAAGGCAUGGCAUUGUGGAAUCUAUAAACUCUCCGACUAUAACUAUAUAUAUGCUUAUUUUGUAUGGUA